Callithrix jacchus (white-tufted-ear marmoset) is the source of this 1942-nucleotide non-coding RNA. Lineage: Eukaryota; Metazoa; Chordata; Mammalia; Primates; Cebidae. The record is from RefSeq and is a predicted model, not a curated record.
AUGGAAUGUUAUAAAAAGUAUGGAGAAGUGUGGGGGAUUUAUGAUGGUCGACAGCCUGUGCUGGCUAUCGCAGAUCCCAACAUAAUCAAAACAGUGCUAGUGAAAGAAUGUUAUUCUGUCUUCGCUAACCGGAGGUCUUUCGGUCCAGUGGGAUUUAUGAAAAGUGCCAUCUCUAUAGCUACGGAUGAUAAAUGGAAGAAAAUAUGAUCAUUGCUGUCUCCAAUCUUCACCAGUGGAAAACUCAAGGAGUCCCUAUCUUUGCCCAGUAUGGAGAGGUGUUGGUGAAAAACCUGAGGCGGGAAGCAGAGAAAGGCAAGGAAUCAACAUGAAAGACAUCUUUGGGGCCUACAGCAUGGAUGUGAUCACUGACACGUCAUUUGGAGUGAACAACAACUCUCUCAACAAUCCACAAGACCCCUUUGUGGAAAGCACCAAGAAGCUUUUAAGAUUUGAUGUUUCAGAUCCAUUCUUUCUCUCAAUAACAAUCUUUCCAUUCCUUACCCCAAUUCUUGAAGCAUUAAAUAUUUCUGUGUUUCCAAGAGAUUCUACAAGUUUUUUAAGAAAAUCUAUAAAAAGGAUAAAAGAAAGUCGUCUCAAAGAUACACAUAAGCACCGAGUGGAUUUCCUUCAGCUGAUGAUUGACUCCCAGAAUUCGAAAGAAACUGAGUCCCACAAAGCUCUGUCUGAUCUGGAGCUCAUGGCCCAAUCAAUUAUCUUCAUUUUUACUGGCUAUGAAACCACCAGCAGUAGUCUUUUCUUCGUUAUGUAUGAACUGGCCACUCACCCUGAUGUCCAGCAGAAACCGCAGGAGGAAAUUGAUGCAGUUUUACCCAACAAGGCACCAGCCACCUAUGAUACUGUGCUACAGAUGGAGUAUCUUGACAUGGUGGUGAAUGAAACACUCAGAUUAUUCCCACUUGCUAUGAGACUUGAGAGGAUCUGCAAAAAAGAUGUUGAAAUCAAUGGGAUGUUGAUUCCCAAAGGGGUAGUGGUGAUGAAUCCAAGCUAUGCUCUUCACUAUGACCCAAAGUACUGGACAGAGACUGAGAAGUUCCUCCCUGAAAGGUUCAGUAAGAAUAACAAGGACAACACAGAUAGCACAUAUACACAUCCUUUAGAACUGGACCCAGAAACUGCAUUGGCAUGAGGUUUGCUCUCAUGAACAUGGUACUUGCUCUAAUCAGAGUCCUUCAGAACUUGUCCUUCAAACCUUGUAAAGAAAUACAGAUCCCCCUGAAAUUAUGCUUAGGAGGACUUCUUCAAACAGAAAAACCUAUUGUUCUAAAGGUUGAGUCAAGGGAUGGGACUGUAAGUGGAACCUGAAUUUCGCUAAGGACUUCUGCUUUGCUCUUGAAGAAAGCUGUGCCUCAGAACAUCGAGACCUCAAAUUACUUUCUGAACAGAACCUUGAAAUAAAGGUGGGCUUAAUAAAAAACAAAAAAAAAAUCCCUUUUUUUUUUUUUGCUUUUAAAAUAUUUAUUGAGCAGAGAAAAAGAAAGGGAGCUAAAAAGAUAAAAUAGAUGUUGAGUUAACAGCUUUCUUCCAAGUUCUGGCGGACUUCAGACUUUAAAUGUGUGGCUCAAACUUCAAUUCUCCAGCUGGCCCUGAUGGAGGAAUUCCUUGUUGUAAUUUUUUUUGUUCAGUCUGCUGUAUGACCUGAUGAUAUUCCAGCUUCUGAGCCUCCAGUUGAUCGUGCUGAUGCCGUAGCUCUUCCUUUUGUUUCUGAAGCUCAUUUUCUUGUAAAGCAAUAAUAUUUUUGUAUUCUUUUAGUUCUUCCUCUGUGAAGAACUGUUGCUGAUCUAAUGUCUCCCAGCUAUCUGGCCCCAAGAAUUCUUUUUUUUCUGUGGCUUUCAAAAACUCCUCCAGAGUCACCAAACGGUCUUUGUUGGUAUCAACCUCAUUCAUUGCAUGUUCCCUCAUUGUAAGCCUUUCUUCUUCCAUU